Molecule: ribosomal RNA, 914 nt
Filed under: Thalassospira tepidiphila MCCC 1A03514
Lineage: Bacteria; Pseudomonadati; Pseudomonadota; Alphaproteobacteria; Rhodospirillales; Thalassospiraceae
Description: bacterial LSU rRNA
Rfam family: Bacterial large subunit ribosomal RNA
Source: RNAcentral
CAGUAGCGGCGAGCGAACGCGGAUUAGCCCUUAAGCUUGUGAAUGAUUAGGAGAACGGUCUGGGAAGGCCGGCCAUAGUGGGUGAUAGCCCCGUAUCCGAAAAUCUGAUCAGGUGAAAUCGAGUAGGUCGGAGCACGUGAAACUCUGACUGAACAUGGGGGGACCAUCCUCCAAGGCUAAAUACUCCUGGCUGACCGAUAGUGAACCAGUACCGUGAGGGAAAGGCGAAAAGAACCCCGGAGAGGGGAGUGAAAUAGAACCUGAAACCGUGUACGUACAAGCAGUCGGAGCCCUCUUUGUGGGGUGACGGCGUACCUUUUGUAUAAUGGGUCAGCGACUUAAUUUCAGUAGCGAGGUUAACCGUUUAGGGGAGCCGUAGGGAAACCGAGUCUUAAUAGGGCGUUUAGUUGCUGGGAUUAGACCCGAAACCGGGCGAUCUAUCCAUGGGCAGGUUGAAGGUGCGGUAACACGCACUGGAGGACCGAACCGACUACCGUUGAAAAGUUAGCGGAUGACCUGUGGAUCGGAGUGAAAGGCUAAUCAAGCUCGGAGAUAGCUGGUUCUCCCCGAAAGCUAUUUAGGUAGCGCCUCGGACGAAUACCACUGGGGGUAGAGCACUGUUUCGGCUAGGGGGUCAUCCCGACUUACCAAACCGAUGCAAACUCCGAAUACCAGUGAGUACUAUCCGGGAGACACACGGCGGGUGCUAACGUCCGUCGUGAAGAGGGAAACAACCCAGACCGCCAGCUAAGGUCCCCAAAUUCCAGUUAAGUGGGAAACGAUGUGGGAAGGCUCAGACAGCUAGGAGGUUGGCUUAGAAGCAGCCACCCUUUAAAGAAAGCGUAAUAGCUCACUAGUCGAGUCGGCCUGCGCGGAAGAUGUAACGGGGCUCAAACUGGAUACCGAAGCUGCGG